This 404-nucleotide ribosomal RNA is filed under the name Brucella melitensis. RNAcentral describes it as "partial 16S ribosomal RNA". It matches the Rfam family "Bacterial small subunit ribosomal RNA", at positions 355 to 776 of the family's 1533-position model. The record is from RNAcentral. Lineage: Bacteria; Pseudomonadati; Pseudomonadota; Alphaproteobacteria; Hyphomicrobiales; Brucellaceae. RNAcentral also lists the same sequence under 2 other names.
UGGGGAAUAUUGGACAAUGGGCGCAAGCCUGAUCCAGCCAUGCCGCGUGAGUGAUGAAGGCCCUAGGGUUGUAAAGCUCUUUCACCGGUGAAGAUAAUGACGGUAACCGGAGAAGAAGCCCCGGCUAACUUCGUGCCAGCAGCCGCGGUAAUACGAAGGGGGCUAGCGUUGUUCGGAUUUACUGGGCGUAAAGCGCACGUAGGCGGACUUUUAAGUCAGGGGUGAAAUCCCGGGGCUCAACCCCGGAACUGCCUUUGAUACUGGAAGUCUUGAGUAUGGUAGAAGUGAGUGGAAUUCCGAGUGUAGAGGUGAAAUUCGUAGAUAUUCGGAGGAACACCAGUGGCGAAGGCGGCUCACUGGACCAUUACUGACGCUGAGGUGCGAAAGCGUGGGGAGCAAACAGG